RNAcentral lists this unclassified non-coding RNA (391 nucleotides) under soil metagenome. RNAcentral describes it as "partial contains 5.8S ribosomal RNA, internal transcribed spacer 2, and large subunit ribosomal RNA". The stretch from base 1 to 122 matches the Rfam family "5.8S ribosomal RNA", at positions 35 to 154 of the family's 154-position model. The record is from RNAcentral.
GAUGAAGAACGUAGCGAAAUGCGAUACUUGGUGUGAAUUGCAGAAUCCCGUGAACCAUCGAGUCUUUGAACGCAAGUUGCGCCCGAAGCCAUUAGGCCGAGGGCACGCCUGCCUGGGUGUCACACGUCGUUGCCCCCCCAUCUACUCCUUCGGGAUUGCGGGGGGCGGAUGAUGGCCUCCCGUGCGCCUCGUCGCGCGGUUGGCAUAAAUGCCAAGUCCUCGGCGACGCAUGCCACGACAAUCGGUGGUUGCGAAACCUCGGUUGCCCGUCGUGUGCGGUCGUCGCGCAUCGAGGGCUCGAAAAAAUUGCCGGGCUCCGGCUCGGCUUUCAACGCGACCCCAGGUCAGGCGGGGUUACCCGCUGAAUUUAAGCAUAUCAAUAAGCGGAGGA